AUUGCCCUUACGGCUCAGUAACACGUGGAUAACAUGCCCUAAGGUGGGGGAUAAUCUCGGGAAACUGAGGAUAAUACCCCAUAGGUCUGAUAUGCUGGAAUGCUUUCAGGCCGAAAACUCCGGUGCCUUAGGAUUGGUCUGCGGUCUAUCAGGCUGUAGUGGGUGUAACGGACCCACUAGCCCGUGACGGAUAUGGGCCUUGAGAGAGGGAGCCCAGAGAUGGACUCUGAGACAUGAGUCCAGGCCCUACGGGGCGCAGCAGUCGCGAAAACUUCGCAAUGGGGGCAACCCCGACGAGGGAAUUCCAAGUGCCAGCACUUUGUGUUGGCUGUUCUCCUGUCUAAAAAACAGGAGGAGUAAGGGGCGGGUAAGACGGGUGCCAGCCGCCGCGGUAAUACCCGCGCCCCUAGUGGUGGUCGAUAUUAUUGAGCCUAAAACGUCCGUAGCCGGUCUUCUAAAUCCUUGGGUAAAUCGGGCAGCUUAACUGUCCGAAGUCCGGGGAGACUGGAAGACUUGGGACCGGGAGAGGUCAGAGGUACUUCUGGGGUAGGGGUAAAAUCCUGUAACCCUGGAAGGACCACCGGUGGCGAAGGCGUCUGACUAGAACGGAUCCGACGGUGAGGGACGAAGCCCUGGGGCGCAAACGGGAUUAGAUACCCCGGUAGUCCAGGGUGUAAACGCUGCGGGCUUGGUGUUGGGGGUCCUUAGUGGGCGCCCAGUGCCGGAGAGAAGUUGUUAAGCCUGCUGCUUGGGGAGUAUGUCCGCAAGGAUGAAACUUAAAGGAAUUGGCGGGGGAGCAC
Molecule: ribosomal RNA, 800 nt
Filed under: uncultured archaeon
Lineage: Archaea
Description: bacterial SSU rRNA
Rfam family: Archaeal small subunit ribosomal RNA
Source: RNAcentral